AUUGAACGCUGGCGGCAGGCCUAACACAUGCAAGUCGAACGGUAACAGGAAGCAGCUUGCUGCUUUGCUGACGAGUGGCGGACGGGUGAGUAAUGUCUGGGAAACUGCCCGAUGGAGGGGGAUAACUACUGGAAACGGUAGCUAAUACCGCAUAACGUCGCAAGACCAAAGAGGGGGACCUUAGGGCCUCUUGCCAUCGGAUGUGCCCAGAUGGGAUUAGCUAGUAGGUGGGGUAACGGCUCACCUAGGCGACGAUCCCUAGCUGGUCUGAGAGGAUGACCAGCCACACUGGAACUGAGACACAGUCCAGACUCCUACGGGAGGCAGCAGUGGGGAAUAUUGCACAAUGGGCGCAAGCCUGAUGCAGCCAUGCCGCGUGUAUGAAGAAGGCCUUCGGGUUGUAAAGUACUUUCAGCGGGGAGGAAGGGAGUAAAGUUAAUACCUUUGCUCAUUGACGUUACCCGCAGAAGAAGCACCGGCUAACUCCGUG
Molecule: ribosomal RNA, 490 nt
Filed under: uncultured bacterium
Lineage: Bacteria
Description: partial 16S ribosomal RNA
Rfam family: Bacterial small subunit ribosomal RNA
Source: RNAcentral